AUAUUCCAGUGCACGGAUGGACCGCGUCGUGUUUGUCCAGUCAUCUGUCGAUGGACAUUUAAUGGGUCGUCUCCACCUUUCCGCGACCCGAGGUCCCGCCGCUCAGAACAGGCGCGCACAAGUUUUUGUUGGAACACCUGUCGGCAACGCUUUGGGGGCUAUGAAAGCCAGACUGUUGGAGCCGGUCCCCGGGGACGGACAGUUACGUCGUCAGCAUUUUCCCUCCUGCUUUCUGCAGACGACACUGUUCCACGCGUCCUUUCCAGCCCCGCGCCUCCGGAAGGCUUUCCUUCUCUGAGCGCGUCAGUUUUCCUGCCCGGAACGUGGGGUUCAUGUUCCUUCUCACCCCGUACGACGGUGGGAGAAGUGAAUGUGGAGACUGAUAAAGGGCUUGGAAAGGGGCCAGGUACACAUUGUUCACUGAACAAGCCCUUCCUGCAGGUGAGGAAACAAUCCGCGAGAGCUGGAACCGCAGAUGCGAAGUCACACGGCACGUGGGCGCCACGGCGGGACCUGAACCCACGCCUGGCAGGCGGACCCAGGUUCAGUUGCCACAAAGCAUCGGCUUCCCUCAGCCGCAGGUCUGCGUCUGAGUCAGGGGGACCCUCGGGGAAGCGACUCCAAGGCGAAUGUCACUGAGACGGCACGUGUGAGCAGGGGACACGAGGGACAAUCAGAGCUCCGACGGCAGACCCACGGGCAGCUGUCGGGAGCCCCGGGCGAGGACAUCCGGCCCACCCCGGGGGGAACUGCAUCGAGGGCGCUUCCACGGAGGGGCGGCAUCGGAGCUGAGGCCUGAAGGUUGAAGAGCCGGCCGGGUACGGAGGGGAAGGAAGAGCGUUUGGGGAGAAGGAACGGCGUAUGCAGACGUCUAGAGAGGAGGGAAUGCGAUCCGGUGACAGGGAAGCAACUUGCCUCAAGUCGGCUCAAGGGAGAAGCCGUCCGGCCAGCCCUUGAACCCUGAUCUGUCUGAGUCCGGAAUCUAUCCCGUUGCCCUUUCCAGGAAGGUGUGAAGGCCUUUCUGUGGGCAGAAGUGCCCCUUCGCUCCUAGCACACAGACCCCCGUAGGCAAUGCAGCUGCCAUGACAGGCAUCACCAAUCAACGACAGACCUCUUUCCCCAGGAGACAGAAUCCAGGCAUCACUAAUGGACUGCCGCAUCUCUUUCCACUGCAGAACCGGGACGCAGGCUCAGAACCUCUCUCCACACAGCCCCCGAGCAGCAACUUCCCAUCAGUGAGCAGGUGUGCAGUUGGAGUUGUGGGGUAAACACAGGCUGACUCCUCUUUCCAGGAAACAUGGCUCCUUCCUUCGUCUUCCAGACUGACAAAUUUUUAGGUCACAAAAUGCAUUCCUUUCCCUGUUUAAAAAAAAAAAAAAAAAUCCCUUCAGUUUCUUUUCAUUACCCCGAGGAUGAAAUCUAAACUCCCGGUCCUACUUUUGUCCUUGCUGUCCUCUGUGCCCACCAUGGCAUCUCUUAGCUCUUGAGAGAGCUCUCCCGCCCCCAGCCACCCUGGCUAGAGUCUCCCCGACACCUCCAAUUCCAUCGUGUCUCUGAGCUUUUCAUUCCUUCUUUGUGCUUUGCUUUGCUUGUCCCUCCCGCAAGGCAGGGCGUGGUCGGCAGUGUCUGGGAGGCUCUCUCUAAACUCCCGGAGCAAAUAAUCCCAUUGGCUCAGCCUGGGCCCCUGGUCCAAUCUGUUGAGACAGGAGGGUGGGGGUCACACGGUGGGCAAG
Felis catus (domestic cat) is the source of this 1733-nucleotide long non-coding RNA. RefSeq lists it as uncharacterized. NCBI's taxonomy places the organism in Eukaryota, Metazoa, Chordata, Mammalia, Carnivora, Felidae. The transcript is spliced from 3 exons. The record is from RefSeq and is a predicted model, not a curated record.